AAAGCGCGCGUAGGCGGUUACGUAAGUUGGAUGUGAAAUCCCCGGGCUCAACCUGGGAAUUGCAUUCAAAACUGCGUGGCUAGAGUGUGGGAGAGGAAGGUAGAAUUCCAGGUGUAGCGGUGAAAUGCGUAGAUAUCUGGAGGAAUACCGAUGGCGAAGGCAGCCUUCUGGCCUAACACUGACGCUGAGGUGCGAAAGCAUGGGGAGCAAACAGGAUUAGAUACCCUGGU
RNAcentral lists this ribosomal RNA (230 nucleotides) under uncultured bacterium. Its description in RNAcentral is "partial 16S ribosomal RNA". It matches the Rfam family "Bacterial small subunit ribosomal RNA", at positions 562 to 791 of the family's 1533-position model. The record is from RNAcentral.